AACUUACUAAAUUCUUGGAAACUCCGAAUACAAAAAAACGUUAUUUAAAUAGACAGACAUUAGGCGCUAAGGUCUUUUGUCAAGAGGGAAACAGCCCAGAUUGAUCGCUAAGGUCUCUAAAUAAUAUUCUAAGUGAAAAAGGAAGUAAAAAAAUAAUGACAACCAGUAGGUAGGCUUGGAAGCAGCCAUCCUUUAAAGAAAGCGUAAUAGCUCAUUGGUCUAGUUUUUUUGCGCCUAAAAUGUAUCGAGACUUAAGAAAUUUACCGAAGCGGCAAGUUUUAUGAAAAAAUAAAACGGUAGCGGAACAUUCUGUAAAUUAAUAAAGAUAUAUUGUGAAAUAUAUUGAAGAUAUCAGAAAAGAAAAUGCUGGCAUUAGUAACAAAAAAUAAUGACUAUUAAUCAUUAUCACCGUAAAUCCAAGGGUUUCUAUGUUAAAAUGAAUUCUAUAGAGUGAAACGGCCCCUAAGAAAGAUUUGACGAAAGCAAAUUUUGAUGGGAUAAUUUUUAAAUUAAAUUUUUUAAAAAAAGUGACAAAAAUUUUAAAUUUUUCAGGAAAUAGCUUUUUUAAUUAAAAACCGUACCCUAAACCGACACAGGUGGAUAGGUCGAGUAGACUAAGGUGAAUGAGAGAACUAUGUUGAAGGAACUCGGCAAAAUGACUUUGUAACUUCGGGAUAAAAAGUACCUAAUUUAACUAAUUAGGUGGCACAGAAUAGGGGGUUGCGACUGUUUAAUAAAAACUUAGGACUCUGCUAAAUGGUAACAUGAUGUAUAGGGUCUGACACCUGCCCGGUGCUGGAAGAUUAAAAGGAAAUGUUUACGCAUUGAAUGGAAGUCCCAGUAAACGGCGGCCGUAACUCUGACGGUCCUAAGGUAGCGAAAUUCCUUGUCGGGUAAGUUCCGACCUGCAUGAAUGGUGUAACGACAUCCCCGCUGUCUCCAACAUUGACUCAGUGAAUUUGAAAUAUCCGUGAAGAUGCGGAUUUUCUAUAGUUAGACGGAAAGACCCCGUGAACCUUUACUACAUCUUUAUAUGGUUAUUUUAUCUAAUAUGUGUAGUAUAAGUGGUAAUCGUUUAGACCUUUACGCUAGUAAAUUGUUUAGAUAUCUUUGAAAUACCACUCUUAUUAAAAUAAAUAACUAAUAUUUUUUAAAUAGACAGUGUAUGGUUGGUAGUUUGACUGGGGCGGUCACCUCCUAAAGAGUAACGGAGGUGUACAAAGGUAAGCUCAAAUUGGAUAAUUUUAUCAAUUGUAGAGUAUAAUGGUAAAAGCUUGCUUGACUGUAAGAUAGACAUAUCAAACAGGGACGAAAGUCGGUCAUAGUGAUCCGAUAAUUCUUUGUGGAAAGAUUAUCGCUCAACGGAUAAAAGGUACUCCGGGGAUAACAGGCUAAUGACUCCUAAGAGCUCCUAUCGACGGAGUCGUUUGGCACCUCGAUGUCGACUCAUCACAUCCUGGAGCUGAAGAAGGUUCCAAGGGUUCGGCUGUUCGCUGAUUAAAGUGGUACGUGAGUUGGGUUUAGAACGUCGUGAGACAGUUUGGUUCCUAUCUUCUAUAGAUAUUUUGAAAAAUGAAAGAAUCUAACUCUAGUACGAGAGGACCGAGAAGGGUAAAUCUCUGGUGUAUCGGUUGUUUAAAAGCAUUGCCGAGUAGCUAAAUUUAUUUUGGAUAAUUACUGAAAGCAUCUAAGUAAGAAACCGUUCUUAAAAAUUUUUCAUAAAAAAACUGUAAAAGAUGAUUACAUAGAUAGGUUUUAAGUGUAAGUAUUGUAAAAUAUUUAGCUUUAAAAUACUAAAAGUUUACAAAAUUUAAAUAU
RNAcentral lists this ribosomal RNA (1818 nucleotides) under Sclerospora graminicola. RNAcentral's name for it is "bacterial LSU rRNA". It matches the Rfam family "Bacterial large subunit ribosomal RNA", at positions 933 to 2925 of the family's 2925-position model. Lineage: Eukaryota; Oomycota; Peronosporomycetes; Peronosporales; Peronosporaceae. The record is from RNAcentral.